Long non-coding RNA from Trachemys scripta elegans, 1095 nucleotides. RefSeq lists it as uncharacterized. Lineage: Eukaryota; Metazoa; Chordata; Testudines; Emydidae. The transcript is spliced from 3 exons. The record is from RefSeq and is a predicted model, not a curated record.
CGGGAGCUGGGCCAGAGGUGUCUGGCAUCUCCAGUGGCUGCCUCCUGAGUGAGCUCUGGGGUUGAGCUUAUACUUGCUGUCCGGCCUCUGACCCUGUGGGGGCAAGCUUGGAGUGCUCUGGCUCUGCCCACUCUGGUGUCUGGCGGAGCUCGUCCCUCUCUGGGGCACCGGGGAACCACACCGCCUCCCUACAGGGCGGCUACUUUAUUAAAAGGAUUUGCUUUUGCACAGGGUUUAUGAUGCUGACAGUCUCUGAGAUAAUGUGAAUUGGCAUCAAUCCUCCAAUAACACAGGCUGUUUCCUCUCCAGAUAAGCCCUAUGGGGAUCCUGAAAGUUGUGACAACGUGAAAUGUUGACUGGGGAAAGCAACCAUUUUGUGUGUGGAAACACGAGGUUUGGCUGACCAAGUCUUACCGCAACUGAGGUGAGGACUCACAUAGGGUUGCUCAUUGUGUUUCUAAAGGCAGACACUGGCAUCUGGGAGAGAGGAGGAUGCACCAAUGAGGAGGGAGGAUGUCAUAUCUCAUAUUGACAUGUUUGAACCUUUCCAUGAACUCAAGGUUUGAGGAGUCCAGACUAUCCCUCCUGUUCCAUUUCAAACACCUGCUGAUGAUGACCAUAUUUCAGCACUGAAAACUGGCAAUUGUCUCUUAAUGGAGUCCCAAUUUUUCUAAUUCUGCAUGUUUUAAAUAGUCUCUUGUCUGACGGGUUACAAGGAUAUUAAAAAAAACCUUGUAACUUUAAAAUAUACAGUUGUGGGGAGCGGGGGGGAAACAGAUCUCCACUUAGCCUUCUUCCAACAAGCUCAGGUCUCCAAGCAAAGGUCAGUGAGGAAUAACUUCAUCAGUAGGGUGGAUGGGGUGGGCCACUAGAGUUGGCUGUUCAGACAGGAGUUUAUUUUGAUAUUUACAGAUUAACUUAAUACUCAAACUGCUUUGGUACAGUAUAAUGUUCAAUAUUUAAUCAAAAUGAUUAAAGGUCUAGAAAACAUGACUUAUGGGGGAAGAAUGAAAGUAAUGGGUGUGUUUAGUCUAGAGAAGACUGAGAGGGGACAUAACAGUUUUCAAGUACAUAAAAGAUUGAUAUAAGGAGGAG